This 253-nucleotide ribosomal RNA is filed under the name uncultured bacterium. RNAcentral describes it as "partial 16S ribosomal RNA". It matches the Rfam family "Bacterial small subunit ribosomal RNA", at positions 524 to 776 of the family's 1533-position model. The record is from RNAcentral.
GACAGAGGGUGCAAACGUUGUUCGGAAUUACUGGGCGUAAAGCGAGUGUAGGCGGUUUCCUAAGUCGGAUGUGAAAGCCCCGGGCUCAACCCGGGAAGUGCAUUCGAAACUGGGAGGCUAGAGUGUCGGAGAGGUUGGUGGAAUUCUCGGUGUAGAGGUGAAAGUCGUAGAUAUCGAGAGGAACACCGGUGGCGAAGGCGGCCAACUGGACGAACACUGACGCUGAGACUCGAAAGCGUGGGGAGCAAACAGG